GCCUCCUCUGCUAGCUAAAUCCCCCCGUCGUGUUAGCUGGAACUUUCUAGAAGCAUUCAUACCCCAGACAGAGGAAAGACUGGUGUAAAAAGUGGGGAAAAGGAGUUGUUGGAACAGCUUGCCACCAGCCAUCAGCCACGCCAGGCUUACGCAGGGGGCAGCCCUCAGUGUCAGGGAUCCUGAGGUGGCAGAGGCCAAUGCUGGUGGAGAGGUGGGUAACCAGUACCUGGCCUGGACUACUUACAGUUGACCAACCCAGGAGUGGCAAGAGCACGGAAGGAUUCCCCCAGCGUCCCAGGUGCCGGAGUGUGUGUUUAGUGAAGGGUGAGGACCAUCUGCCGGGGCUGGGUGAAAUCAGUACAACAUGCAGGUGCUGGGGUAUUUACCCCAGCACGCAAGCCACCAGAUCUAGAUCAUUCAUCAAAUUGGAAGCUGCAGUAUACAUGUCCAGUCCAGCAUAGAGCAACAGCACACCAACGAUCACUAGCAGUCCUCCAGCCUCGGCCCCCGUCCUGAUGAUGUAAUUAUUUCCCAGUGGCACCUGGGAGCAACGGCCGCCAUUCGGAGGCAUCGCUCACAGCCAAUGAGGUGCUUCUUUGCUGUGACACCCAUGGCCUUUGGAGCCCAGAACCCCCCCUGUGGAGACCAGAGAGACGUGUACCCUUGAUCACUGUGUCCCCUGGAGACUGUCACACACACACAUUUAAAUUACUACGCUUGUGGGGACUUCACAAACUACAUUCAACACCCCCACCCCCCCACCCCAAUCUUGACCUUAACCUGUUACUAAUAAUAACAAAAAUGCUACUAUAAACCCUAAAAUCAACCAACUAACGGAGUUCCCUCACCUUUCCAUACUUGUAAGGACACCUUCUUACCAUCUGUUUGUUUGUAGUCACAUCUUCAGUCAUACUGUGAAGCAGAGAUUGGAUAUUUAUGUUAAAAUAACUGCAUUAUCUAAUUCAGUUAUAUUAAUUAAUAUGAUAAUUAUCACAGAGCUGUAUUUGCAAUUACCAUAAUAACUGAAGAUGAACAGGGUUUGUUAGUGGACACAAAAAAGAGACAAUGACAAUGAAAGAAACUGCACAUGUAAUGUGUCAGGUUCAAUAUCCUUACAUUUUUUUC
Molecule: long non-coding RNA, 1125 nt
Organism: Etheostoma spectabile (orangethroat darter)
Lineage: Eukaryota; Metazoa; Chordata; Actinopteri; Perciformes; Percidae
Exons: 6
Source: RefSeq, a predicted model, not a curated record